This 450-nucleotide ribosomal RNA is filed under the name uncultured bacterium. RNAcentral describes it as "partial 16S ribosomal RNA". It matches the Rfam family "Bacterial small subunit ribosomal RNA", at positions 354 to 796 of the family's 1533-position model. The record is from RNAcentral.
GUGGGGAAUUUUGGACAAUGGGCGCAAGCCUGAUCCAGCAAUGCCGCGUGCAGGAAGAAGGCCUUCGGGUUGUAAACUGCUUUUGUACGGAACGAAAAGGCUCUGGUUAAUACCUGGGGCUCAUGACGGUACCGUAAGAAUAAGCACCGGCUAACUACGUGCCAGCAGCCGCGGUAAUACGUAGGGUGUAAGCGUUAAUCGGAAUUACUGGGCGUAAAGCGUGCGCAGGCGGUUUUGUAAGACAGACGUGAAAUCCCCGGGCUCAACCUGGGAAUGGCGUUUGUGACUGCAAAGCUGGAGUGCGGCAGAGGGGGAUGGAAUUCCGCGUGUAGCAGUGAAAUGCGUAGAUAUGCGGAGGAACACCGAUGGCGAAGGCAAUCCCCUGGGCCUGCACUGACGCUCAUGCACGAAAGCGUGGGGAGCAAACAGGAUUAGAUACCCCGGUAGUCC